Molecule: non-coding RNA, 25 nt
Filed under: Mus musculus (house mouse)
Lineage: Eukaryota; Metazoa; Chordata; Mammalia; Rodentia; Muridae
Source: RNAcentral
AGAGUCAUUUGGGAAGAACCCUCAA